RNAcentral lists this microRNA (21 nucleotides) under Oryza sativa (Asian cultivated rice). Its description in RNAcentral is "osa-miR2096-5p". The record is from miRBase by way of RNAcentral. Lineage: Eukaryota; Viridiplantae; Streptophyta; Magnoliopsida; Poales; Poaceae. RNAcentral also lists the same sequence under 1 other name.
UGCCGAUUUCCCCCUCGGGCG